Molecule: ribosomal RNA, 587 nt
Filed under: uncultured Acidimicrobiia bacterium
Lineage: Bacteria; Bacillati; Actinomycetota; Acidimicrobiia
Description: bacterial SSU rRNA
Rfam family: Bacterial small subunit ribosomal RNA
Source: RNAcentral
GGCCGUAACUGCAGGUCGAGAUUCCUACGGGAGGCAGCAGUGGGGAAUCUUGCACAAUGGGCGAAAGCCUGAUGCAGCGAUGCCGCGUGCGGGAAGAAGGCCCUAGGGUUGUAAACCGCUUUCAGGAGGGAAGAAAAUGACGGUACCUCCAGAAGAAGGUGCGGCCAACUACGUGCCAGCAGCCGCGGUGACACGUAGGCACCAAGCGUUAUCCAGAUUUAUUGGGCGUAAAGAGCUCGUAGGCGGUUUGGUAAGUCGGGUGUGAAAACUCUGGGCUCAACCCAGAGAGGCCACUCGAUACUGCUAUGACUAGAGUACGGUAGGGGAGCGGGGAAUUCCUGGUGUAGCGGUGAAAUGCGCAGAUAUCAGGAGGAACACCAGCGGCGAAGGCGCCGCUCUGGGCCGUAACUGACGCUGAGGAGCGAAAGCAUGGGUAGCAAACAGGAUUAGAUACCCUGGUAGUCCAUGCCGUAAACGUUGGGCACUAGGUGUGGGUCUCAACCAACGAGAUCCGCGCCGUCGCUAACGCAUUAAGUGCCCCGCCUGGGGAGUACGGUCGCAAGACUAAAACUCAAAGGAAUUGACGG